UUUAAUUACAGCCGCAACUAACUGUCGUUCAAAUUCAAAAUGAUGUAUUUGUGCUAGGUGGUACAAUUUAAUUUACUACAGUAGCGCCCAUUCAUUUCAACGGAAAAGUAUUGAACUACCACUGCUAACUGGUCCCUGGCAUUGGUCAUUGGUCUCCCUCCACCCCUCCCUCCCUCCCGAUUGUUUUUUCUGUCCUCCUUCAACGUAAGCUCCUGACAGCACAAAUGGCUGCCAUCAAGAAUGUUGAUAAGUUCUGGAUUUUGUAAAUAUUUUCCGAUCGAAGUUAAUUCUAAGUGCUUCACAACAUGUUUUUUGUGUACAUAGUUAUUUGUGUGGUUUUAAUCGGAAAAUGUUUAUCCAGGAGCCUGUACAGGCUGCCAUAUGGCAUUGUUUGAAUCACUACGAUUAUGCAGAUGCUAUUUUCCUUUUGCAGAGAGGCUCAGGGCUGAAGUUGAUUCGGAUGAAACGCUCUUCCUCCUCGCAACUUGUUACUAUCGUUCUGGGAAGCCAAGUCAAGCUA
RNAcentral lists this long non-coding RNA (520 nucleotides) under Bemisia tabaci. RNAcentral describes it as "lncRNA ENSSSA1UGG010250". Lineage: Eukaryota; Metazoa; Arthropoda; Insecta; Hemiptera; Aleyrodidae. The record is from RNAcentral.